CGCGCAGGCGGUUUUAUAAGUCUGGUGUGAAAGCCCACGGCUCAACCGUGGAGGGUCACUGGAAACUGUAAGACUUGAGUAUAGGAGAGGAAAGUGGAAUUCCAUGUGUAGCGGUGAAAUGCGUAGAUAUAUGGAGGAACACCAGUGGCGAAGGCGACUUUCUGGUCUGUAACUGACACUGAGGCUCGAAAGCGUGGGGAGCAAACAG
Molecule: ribosomal RNA, 208 nt
Filed under: uncultured Bacilli bacterium
Lineage: Bacteria; Bacillati; Bacillota; Bacilli
Description: partial 16S ribosomal RNA
Rfam family: Bacterial small subunit ribosomal RNA
Source: RNAcentral